GAUGAACGCUGGCGGCGUGCCUAAUACAUGCAAGUCGAGCGAACAGACGAGGAGCUUGCUCCUCUGACGUUAGCGGCGGACGGGUGAGUAACACGUGGAUAACCUACCUAUAAGACUGGGAUAACUUCGGGAAACCGGAGCUAAUACCGGAUAAUAUAUUGAACCGCAUGGUUCAAUAGUGAAAGACGGUUUUGCUGUCACUUAUAGAUGGAUCCGCGCCGCAUUAGCUAGUUGGUAAGGUAACGGCUUACCAAGGCAACGAUGCGUAGCCGACCUGAGAGGGUGAUCGGCCACACUGGAACUGAGACACGGUACAGACUCCUACGGGAGGCAGCAGUAGGGAAUCUUCCGAAAUGGGCGAAAGCUUGACGGGGCAACGCCGCGUGAGUGAUGAAGGUCUUCGGAUCGUAAAACCCUGUUAUUAGGGAAGAACAAAUGUGUAAGUAACUAUGCACGUCUUGACGGUACCUAAUCAGAAAGCCACGGCUAACUACGUG
RNAcentral lists this ribosomal RNA (497 nucleotides) under uncultured bacterium. RNAcentral describes it as "partial 16S ribosomal RNA". It matches the Rfam family "Bacterial small subunit ribosomal RNA", at positions 28 to 507 of the family's 1533-position model. The record is from RNAcentral.